RNAcentral lists this ribosomal RNA (253 nucleotides) under uncultured bacterium. RNAcentral's name for it is "partial 16S ribosomal RNA". It matches the Rfam family "Bacterial small subunit ribosomal RNA", at positions 524 to 776 of the family's 1533-position model. The record is from RNAcentral.
UACGAAGGGGGCUAGCGUUGCUCGGAAUCACUGGGCGUAAAGGGUGCGUAGGCGGGUCUUUAAGUCAGGGGUGAAAUCCUGGAGCUCAACUCCAGAACUGCCUUUGAUACUGAAGAUCUUGAGUUCGGGAGAGGUGAGUGGAACUGCGAGUGUAGAGGUGAAAUUCGUAGAUAUUCGGAAGAACACCAGUGGCGAAGGCGGCUCACUGGACUGGUAUUGACGCUGAUGUGCGAAAGCGUGGGGAGCAAACAGG